This 441-nucleotide ribosomal RNA is filed under the name uncultured bacterium. RNAcentral describes it as "bacterial SSU rRNA". It matches the Rfam family "Bacterial small subunit ribosomal RNA", at positions 337 to 795 of the family's 1533-position model. The record is from RNAcentral.
UCCUACGGGAGGCAGCAGUGGGGAAUAUUGGACAAUGGGCGCAAGCCUGAUCCAGCAAUGCCGCGUGAGUGAUGAAGGCCUUCGGGUCGUAAAGCUCUUUUACCAGGGAUGAUAAUGACAGUACCUGGAGAAUAAGCUCCGGCUAACUCCGUGCCAGCAGCCGCGGUAAUACGGAGGGAGCUAGCGUUGUUCGGAAUUACUGGGCGUAAAGCGCACGUAGGCGGUUACUCAAGUCAGAGGUGAAAGCCCGGGGCUCAACCCCGGAACUGCCUUUGAAACUAGGUGACUGGAAUCUUGGAGAGGCGAGUGGAAUUCCGAGUGUAGAGGUGAAAUUCGUAGAUAUUCGGAAGAACACCAGUGGCGAAGGCGACUCGCUGGACAAGUAUUGACGCUGAGGUGCGAAAGCGUGGGGAGCAAACAGGAUUAGAUACCCGAGUAGUC